AGAGCGAACGCUGGCGGCAGGCCUAACACAUGCAAGUCGAACGGACCCUUCGGGGUUAGUGGCGGACGGGUGAGUAACACGUGGGAACGUGCCUUUUGGUUCGGAAUAGCUCCUGGAAACGGGUGGUAAUGCCGAAUGUGCCCUUCGGGGGAAAGAUUUAUCGCCAUUAGAGCGGCCCGCGUCUGAUUAGCUAGUUGGUGAGGUAAAGGCUCACCAAGGCUACGAUCAGUAGCUGGUCUGAGAGGAUGACCAGCCACAUUGGGACUGAGACACGGCCCAAACUCCUACGGGAGGCAGCAGUGGGGAAUCUUGCGCAAUGGGCGAAAGCCUGACGCAGCCAUGCCGCGUGAAUGAUGAAGGUCUUAGGAUUGUAAAAUUCUUUCACCGGGGACGAUAAUGACGGUACCCGGAGAAGAAGCCCCGCUAACUUCGUGCCAGCAGCCGC
RNAcentral lists this ribosomal RNA (445 nucleotides) under uncultured soil bacterium. RNAcentral describes it as "bacterial SSU rRNA". It matches the Rfam family "Bacterial small subunit ribosomal RNA", at positions 26 to 518 of the family's 1533-position model. The record is from RNAcentral.